CAAGUCGAGGGGCAGCAUGGGGGAGUAGCAAUACUCUCUGAUGGCGACCGGCGCAAGGGUGCGUAACGCGUGAGCAACUUGCCCUCAUCAGGGGAAUAAUCGCUGGAAACGGCGUCUAAUGCCCCAUGGUGAUGUCCUCAGGCAUCUGAGGUCAUCUAAAGAUCCGUCGGAUGGGGAUAGGCUCGCGUGACAUUAGCUAGACGGCGGGGUAACGGCCCACCGUGGCGACGAUGUCUAGGGGUUCUGAGAGGAAGGUCCCCCACACUGGAACUGAGACACGGACCAGACUCCUACGGGAGGCAGCAGUGAGGAAUAUUGGUCAAUGGGCGCGAGCCUGAACCAGCCAAGUCGCGUGAGGGAAGACGGUCCUAUGGAUUGUAAACCUCUUUUGUCGGGGAGCAAAAGACGUCACGUGUGGCGUUCCGAGAGUACCCGAAGAAAAAGCAUCGGCUAACUCCGUGCCAGCAGCCGCGGUAAUACGGAGGAUGCGAGCGUUAUCCGGAUUUAUUGGGUUUAAAGGGUGCGCAGGCGGAAGAUCAAGUCAGCGGUAAAAUUGAGAGGCUCAACCUCUUCGAGCCGUUGAAACUGGUUUUCUUGAGUGAGCGAGAAGUAUGCGGAAUGCGUGGUGUAGCGGUGAAAUGCAUAGAUAUCACGCAGAACUCCGAUUGCGAAGGCAGCAUACCGGCGCUCAACUGACGCUCAUGCACGAAAGUGUGGGUAUCGAACAGGAUUAGAUACCCUGGUAGUCCACACAGUAAACGAUGAAUACUAAUUGUUCGGGGAGAAUGAUCCCUGAGUGAUACAGCGAAAGCGUUAAGUAUUCCACCUGGGGAGUA
Molecule: ribosomal RNA, 836 nt
Filed under: uncultured bacterium
Lineage: Bacteria
Description: bacterial SSU rRNA
Rfam family: Bacterial small subunit ribosomal RNA
Source: RNAcentral